AGAAAAUAAGAUUUUUCUUUUUAUAAAUAAGAAAUCUUGAAUAAAAAUAAAAAUAUGAAAGACAAGCGGAAGUGAGGAGAAACUGAAGAGAAUUGGUAAACAGAGAGUAACAGACAGAGUCCUAACCGAUGGUUUAUUGUCUUAUUGGUUAUCAAACGGAGACGUAAUUUGGCAGGCUAAGGUAGCCGAGCCAAAUCCCGAUGUCGCAACCCAAGCCACCCCACUUAUUCCCUUUUUUGUUCACGCGCUUAUCCACGUCCCGGCGAUCCAUCUCUUUAAUUCCCCUACUCUUACGGCCCAUGCGUCCGGCGCGUCACCUUCGCCGCACCGACCCCGUUUUCUUGUAUUUUUUCUUGGUCAGAGAUCCCCUUUACUCUUUAACCUUAUCUCUCACAUCAAUAUCACACAAAUCGAUAAUAACCUAAUUCACCACCAACGAUACGACCACCACCACCACCACCAUUAGAUCAGAGCGAUGGGUGACCUCACCGAUUCUGUUACGCCGUCCACCACACCUCACUCCAGACCCUUGCCUAUACGUGAGGAUUGCUGGAGCGAGGAGGCUACAUCCACUCUUGUCGAAGUUUGGGGCAAGCGAUAUUUGGAGCUCAACCGAGGUAAUCUACGUCAGAAGGACUGGCAGGAAGUGGCCGAUGCCGUUAACGCCAAACAUGGCCAUACGAAGAAGACUCACCGUACGGAUGUGCAGUGUAAGAACCGAAUCGACACGAUUAAGAAAAAGUACAAGAUCGAGAAGGCUAGGGUUACCUCCUCUAACGGAAUGUUGACAUCUUCGUGGCCAUUCUUUGAGAGCUUAGAUGCCUUGAUCGGAUCUAAUUUCACUGCUAAGAAACAAGCUUCUCCGUCUCCUCCGGUGGCUCUGCCUGUAACUACCUACAGGAGGACUCCCACUUCGACUCCGCCUACGGCGGUGGUGGCUUUGCCCCAGAAGAGGCCGUUGGAUGACGGCUAUUUCAGGAGGAAUUACUCGGCCAUGGCUGCAGCUGCUGCAGCUGAAUCGGAGAGUGAAGAAGAGGACGAGGAGGAGGAGAGGGAAAGGGAGAGGGAGAGUGGAUGGUAA
RNAcentral lists this unclassified non-coding RNA (1081 nucleotides) under Hevea brasiliensis (rubber tree). Lineage: Eukaryota; Viridiplantae; Streptophyta; Magnoliopsida; Malpighiales; Euphorbiaceae. The record is from RNAcentral.